RNAcentral lists this long non-coding RNA (2946 nucleotides) under Mus musculus (house mouse). RNAcentral's name for it is "long non-coding RNA chr7:55007975-55010921". Lineage: Eukaryota; Metazoa; Chordata; Mammalia; Rodentia; Muridae. The record is from RNAcentral.
UUGAAAAAAAUUGAAAUGGACUAGGGAAAGAAUAAUGACUGUUAAAAUAUUUCAUAUUACUAUAAAUAUUAUAUAUCUUGAGUCUAUGAAUUCAAGAAUCAUUAAUGAUGAAAAUUUAUUAAUUGUAAAGUGUGAUUCAUGCUUUAUAUAAAACCAAAACAAAACCAAACAAACAAAAAAUCCACCAGUCCAAAACACAUUAAGAAUCCAACUGGAGUCAAUGGGCUAGGUGAUUACACUGAGAAUGUCAAAGCCAUUUUGCUCCAACCACUAUCACCUAAACAAAAGAUAAUUAGGGACUGAAAGAAUAGGAAACUAUCAUGGAGCCUCUGUGGGUAUGUACUAGGUCCUCCACAUACAUGGAGGGGUAUUUAAUUUGGACUUUUCAUAGGACUCCUAACUGGGAGUGGGGCUUUCUGACUCUUUUGCCUGAUCAGGGGACCCUUCUUCUCCUACUGGGCUGCCUUGUCCAGCCUCUAUAUGAAGCUUUGUGGUUAGUUUUAUUGCAUCUACUUGUGCUGUGCUCAGUUGGUAGUCUUGUGAGGCCUGCUCUUUUCUGAAGAGAAGUGAAGGAGGAGUAGAUGUAGAGGAGAUGGAAGUUGGGGGGCAUGGCAUUGGAGGAGAGGGAGGCUGUGGUAGGGAUGUAUUGUAUGAGAGAAGAAUAAAGAAAAAGGAAAAAAAAAGAAGAGAAAUCACUGGCAGUAUCAAAGGUUGAGAUUUCUGUUUUUCACUUCUUAACCUGCAUACUUCUUAACUUAUUAACUUCAUAAGUGUUCUUAUUCUAAGUUAGUCAACUUAAAGCCACUCUAUGAAAGAAUGAGAGGUCCUGAAGAUUGCAGAUUCUUAGAAGCAUAGGCUCUUAGAGUAGUGAGAAAAUCAUAGAUGCAGAGUCCUUAAUAAGAUUAAUCUCCUAUUUCUGCAUGGCAGUUAUUAAAAAAGAAAUUUAUUGAUUUAUAGACAAUUAUCCAAACCUCCAAGAACACUUUUGGGUAUAGGAUAAAGCACAGAGUAGCCUCAGAUUAUGUUUAUACUCAAGAACAUGAAUACAAGCUAUGAUCUUAGAGAAGCCAAUUUCAUUAAAUUAUGAAUUCUUCUUUUGCAAAUGGAGGUAAAAACAUCUUCCUCCUGCUUUAUCGAGCAUGGGAAUAAAGUUCCUUAGCAGUCAUUACAACAGUGUUGAUGAUAGGAUUAUUGUCACCCAGAACAAUUUUUUUCUAGUUCAUGAGAUAAUUCACUGUAAAAAAAAAAAAAAAAGAGUUUGUAAGCCCAAGGAAGCACCUGACAGGAGACAGAAAGGCUGAGGUCCUCUUCCUAUCCCCUUGCACCACCCCAGCCCUGCUCUAGCCUGCAACAUCUGCAGUCCCUAGGCACCUCCUUUCAUUUAUAACAAUGGUGUGCUUAGAGGAAGGCUCACUACCUAUAGGUCUGGGCUGGACAUCACUGCCUUCCCACUGAGGAGGCUCAUCCGAGUAACAGCUCAUCCUUCUCUGUGAAAUUUCUGCCCUGGGGCAAUCUUUUAAAGGGAUUUUAAAACCUUCUGACAUGUUUGCCAUUUAAGCAAGCUGAGUAGAGCUAAAGAAGCAGCACGGGACCUGGAAACGACUUCAGAAAGUGUAAAAAUAAUGAGUCUUGUUCCUUUUCUGCCAGAAGGGCUGCGGCAGCUCUCUGCCCUUCCUUAUGCAUGCCUGCAGGCAUGAUUUUACUCUGGACAGUUAUUCUCUUUGAGUCUUUCAGUUCCUCUUAGAUUUUAUCUGCUUCUUUCUCCCUUUCUCUUUAUUUGUUUUUUUUUCUAUUAUUUUCUUUUUCUUUUCUAGUUAGCAAUAAAGCACUGUGAGCUGAUGAACUACCACUUGUAAAUAAUAAGAAGUCAUAAUGUUUCCUAGUCAGAAUGCUCAGAGUCCUCUGGUAGACGGAUAUUGUGGUCCAUGGUAGUUCUUUUGUCUUGGCAGGACUGAGCAUGACACCUUCCCUAUAACCAGGGAUACCUGGUUUAUCUCUUCCUAACACAUCAUUUUUCUCCUUGGUACGCACACAUCCCUCCCCAUCCUCACUGUUGUUUGCACUUGUUUCUGUCCUCCACUGUCUCAGUUUCUCUCCUUUAAGAGGUUUUGUGUGCUCAAUCUCUCUUUAUUCUAUGAUGUCUAAAUGGAUCACUGAUGUACUAAACCAAUGCCCCACAUAGAGCCAAUGUCCUCUUCUAUCUUUACUCAGUAAGAUCUUGGCCUGAGCUCACUCUCUUGGCAGCAGCCCAAAGGAGCUAGCAUCUUUUGUCUGGUUUUCUAUAUGGAAACAUUAGCCGCAGGUUAAAGUUUAUAGCUACUAUGUUCUUUCUCAGAUUGUUUACUCCUCCUCUUCAAAGAAAACGCUCUGAACUCUUGAAAAUGUUGUUUAGAGUGUUUCCAUGAUAUUUCUUCACUUGUUAUACUAUCUUUUGAUUCCUAAAAUGAUAGUCCUAAGUUUUGUUUUCUUGCAUCACUUCAUUGCUUGGUUCUGUCUGCUGCCCCUGGUUACACAAAUGAUAAUGUUUAAAUAUUUUAACCCAGACUCAGGCUUAUCUUUUUCCUAAUCCUAGUAUAUCUAGACUCCUAUCACUAUUUGUAGAGUUCUCAUAACUAUGUUCCAUAUUUUCUUGUUAUUAUUCUAAAGUAGCCUGCCUUUGUUUUUGCCUAACACAUUCUUUGUGUCCUAGAGAUUCCCCAUCUGCUUUUCUCACAUCGAGUAAAUUUAUAUUGCUGUGGAUAGUAUUUUAUUUUACAGAGGCAUGGGAAUAUCAAGGAGCCGAGACUACAGGAGCAGCUGUUCCCACAAAAUGAGAGACAUGGACUUUAUGUCCUUAUAGGAAGACAUCCUGAAGUGUUAUUUGCUUUAUCACAAAGGCCCCUGUACUUGUUAGUUUUAUGUUAAUUUGACACACUCUAAGGUCAUCUUGGAAGAAGGAUCCACAAU